UGCCAGCCGCCGCGGUAAUACGGAGGGCGCAAGCGUGACUCGGAAUCACUGGGCGUAAAGAGCGUGUAGGCGGGUUAAUAAGUUUGAAGUGAAAUCCAAUGGCUCAACCAUUGAACUGCUUUGAAAACUGUUAACCUAGAAUAUGGGAGAGGUAGAUGGAAUUUCUGGUGUAGGGGUAAAAUCCGUAGAGAUCAGAAGGAAUACCGAUUGCGAAGGCGAUCUAAUGGAACAUUAUUGAAGCUGAGACGAGAACGCGUGGGGAGCAAACAGGAGUAGAUC
RNAcentral lists this ribosomal RNA (279 nucleotides) under uncultured bacterium. Its description in RNAcentral is "partial 16S ribosomal RNA". It matches the Rfam family "Bacterial small subunit ribosomal RNA", at positions 506 to 784 of the family's 1533-position model. The record is from RNAcentral.